RNAcentral lists this small nuclear RNA (20 nucleotides) under Arabidopsis thaliana (thale cress). Its description in RNAcentral is "snRNA_05664". Lineage: Eukaryota; Viridiplantae; Streptophyta; Magnoliopsida; Brassicales; Brassicaceae. The record is from RNAcentral.
UUCAUUUUGGUAAUAAACCC